GGUUUUAAUUCUGUUAUGGCCCCAUAGAAUGCACUAACGAUCGGGCCUUCACUGCAGCAGAAAUACUUACCCUCCUUGCCGUAUCCGAUGAGGGUAAUUGCCUGACAACUGAGGCAGUCCACCUGCAGCCAAUCCCACCAAUCCAAGUCAUAUGAUAGCGAUGAAACCAAAAUCACAUAACUCGGAUCACUCGACUUGCCUGCAGGGAGACUGCCUGGGUUCUCAGGCAGAUCCCCC
Molecule: non-coding RNA, 237 nt
Organism: Pelobates cultripes (western spadefoot toad)
Lineage: Eukaryota; Metazoa; Chordata; Amphibia; Anura; Pelobatidae
Source: the annotation of a GenBank genome assembly